UAGGGAAUCUUCCACAAUGGACGCAAGUCUGAUGGAGCAACGGCCGCGUGAGUGAAGAAGGUUUUCGGACCGUAAAGCUCUGUUGUUGGUGAAGAAGGAUAGAGGUAGUAACUGGCCUUUAUUUGACGGUAAUCAACCAGAAAGUCACGGCUAACUACGUGCCAGCAGCCGCGGUAAUCGUAGGUGGCAAGCGUUGUCCGGAUUUAUUGGGCGUAAAGCGAGCGCAGGCGGAAGAAUAAGUCUGAUGUGAAAGCCCUCGGCUUAACCGAGGAAUUGCAUCGGAAACUGUUUUCUUGAGUGCAGAAGAGGAGAGUAGAACUCCAUGUGUAGCGGUGGAAUGCGUAGAUAUAUGGAAGAAUACCAGUGGCGAAGGCGGCUCUCUGGUCUGCAACUGACGCUGAGGCUCGAAAGCAUGGGUAGCGAACAGGAUUAGAUACCCUGGUAGUCCAUGCCGUAAACGAUGAGUGCUAAGUGUUGGGAGGCUUCCGCCUCUCAGUGCUGCAGCUAACGCAUUAAGCACUCCGCCUGGGGGAGUACGACCGCAAGGUUGAAACUCAAAGUGAAUUGAC
RNAcentral lists this ribosomal RNA (569 nucleotides) under uncultured bacterium. RNAcentral describes it as "partial 16S ribosomal RNA". It matches the Rfam family "Bacterial small subunit ribosomal RNA", at positions 355 to 914 of the family's 1533-position model. The record is from RNAcentral.